UGGGGAAUAUUGGACAAUGGGCGAAAGCCUGAUCCAGCCAUGCCGCGUGGGUGAAGAAGGCCUUCGGGUUGUAAAGCCCUUUUGUUGGGAAAGAAAAAUUUCCGGUUAAUACCCGGAGAGAAUGACGGUACCCAAAGAAUAAGCACCGGCUAACUUCGUGCCAGCAGCCGCGGUAAUACGAAGGGUGCAAGCGUUACUCGGAAUUACUGGGCGUAAAGGGUGCGUAGGUGGUUCGUUAAGUCUGAUGUGAAAGCCCUGGGCUCAACCUGGGAAUUGCAUUGGAUACUGGCGGGCUAGAGUGCGGUAGAGGGUAGUGGAAUUCCCGGUGUAGCAGUGAAAUGCGUAGAUAUCGGGAGGAACAUCCGUGGCGAAGGCGACUGCCUGGACCAGCACUGACACUGAGGCACGAAAGCGUGGGGAGCAAACAGG
RNAcentral lists this ribosomal RNA (429 nucleotides) under uncultured bacterium. Its description in RNAcentral is "bacterial SSU rRNA". It matches the Rfam family "Bacterial small subunit ribosomal RNA", at positions 355 to 776 of the family's 1533-position model. The record is from RNAcentral.